CCUAGCCGUAAACAUUGGUAAUACAGCACAUUUAUUACCCGCCAGGGAACUACAAGCAUUAGCUUGAAACCCAAAGGACUUGGCGGUGCUUUAGAUCCACCUAGAGGAGCCUGUUCUGGAACCGAUAACCCCCGUUCAACCUCACCUCCCCUUGUUUUCCCCGCCUAUAUACCGCCGUCGUCAGCUUACCCUGUGAAGGCUUAAUAGUAAGCAAAAUUGGCACAGCCUAAAACGUCAGGUCGAGGUGUAGCGUAUGGGGAGGGAAGAAAUGGGCUACAUUUCCUGUUAUAGGAAACACGGACGAUAUGCUGAAACGUAUAUCCAAAGGAGGAUUUAGCAGUAAGCGGGAAACAGAGCGUCCCGCUGAAAUUGGCCCUGAAGCGCGCAC
This 388-nucleotide ribosomal RNA is filed under the name Etheostoma tuscumbia (Tuscumbia darter). RNAcentral's name for it is "partial 12S ribosomal RNA". It matches the Rfam family "Bacterial small subunit ribosomal RNA", at positions 795 to 1386 of the family's 1533-position model. The record is from RNAcentral. Lineage: Eukaryota; Metazoa; Chordata; Actinopteri; Perciformes; Percidae.